Long non-coding RNA from Balaenoptera musculus (blue whale), 398 nucleotides. RefSeq lists it as uncharacterized. Lineage: Eukaryota; Metazoa; Chordata; Mammalia; Artiodactyla; Balaenopteridae. The record is from RefSeq and is a predicted model, not a curated record. The transcript is spliced from 3 exons.
AUGAGACAUCAAGAACCUGAGCUUCAUUAAGUCCUGAGACCAGGUGGUGUCUAUUAUGAAUAUGGAUGCUAUUAACAUUCAUCUACAAGUCUUGGUGUGGACAUUGUUUUAUUUCUCUGGGGUAGAGAAGUGGAAUUGCAAGGUCCUAUGCUGCCAAAACCCUUGGGAUUUCCUGAGCAAUAACUGGAAGCAACUUUUGUCAUAAUAUUUGGUGUCCUGUCCUCAGUUCCUGAAACUGCUUCAGACCAUGAAGGUGAAAUGGGUGUCUUGUUACUCAUAACAAGACCUUUUCCACCACAACUGGGUUUAUGUUAACGUGGUUAUUACCUGAAAACUGGGAUCGCCUCUUGGUGGGUGUCAAGCCAAAAGACACAAUUGUAAGUAGAUAGGGUAGGGGG